RNAcentral lists this ribosomal RNA (451 nucleotides) under uncultured Pseudomonas sp. RNAcentral's name for it is "bacterial SSU rRNA". It matches the Rfam family "Bacterial small subunit ribosomal RNA", at positions 930 to 1382 of the family's 1533-position model. Lineage: Bacteria; Pseudomonadati; Pseudomonadota; Gammaproteobacteria; Pseudomonadales; Pseudomonadaceae. The record is from RNAcentral.
CGGUGGAGCAUGUGGUUUAAUUCGAAGCAACGCGAGAACCUUACCAGGCCUUGACAUGCAGAGAACUUUCCAGAGAUGGAUUGGUGCCUUCGGGAACUCUGACACAGGUGCUGCAUGGCUGUCGUCAGCUCGUGCCGUGAGAUGUUGGGUUAAGUCCGUAACGAGCGCAACCCUUGUCCUUAGUUACCAGCACGUUAUGGUGGGCACUCUAAGGAGACUGCCGGUGACAAACCGGAGGAAGGUGGGGAUGACGUCAAGUCAUCAUGGCCCUUACGGCCUGGGCUACACACGUGCUACAAUGGUCGGUACAAAGGGUUGCCAAGCCGCGAGGUGGAGCUAAUCCCAUAAAACCGAUCGUAGUCCGGAUCGCAGUCUGCAACUCGACUGCGUGAAGUCGGAAUCGCUAGUAAUCGUGAAUCAGAAUGUCACGGUGAAUACGUUCCCGGGCCUU